AUGGGCGCAAGCCUGAUGCAGCAACGCCGCGUGAGGGACGAAGGCCUUCGGGUUGUAAACCUCUUUUAGCAGGGAAGAAGCGAAAGUGACGGUACCUGCAGAAAAAGCACCGGCUAACUACGUGCCAGCAGCCGCGGUAGUACGUAGGGUGCAAGCGUUGUCCGGAAUUAUUGGGCGUAAAGAGCUCGUAGGCGGUUUGUCGCGUCUGCUGUGAAAAUCCGAGGCUCAACCUCGGACCUGCAGUGGGUACGGGCAAACUAGAGUGCGGUAGGGGAGAUUGGAAUUCCUGGUGUAGCGGUGGAAUGCGCAGAUAUCAGGAGGAACACCAAGGGCGAAGGCAGAUCUCUGGGCCGUAACUGACGCUGAGGAGCGAAAGCGUGGGGAGCGAACAGGAUUAGAUACCCUGGUAGUCCACGCCGUAAACGGUGGGAACUAGAUGUGGGGUCCGUUCCACGGAUUCCGUGUCGCAGCUAACGCAUUAAGUUCCCCGCCUGGGGAGUACGGCCGCAAGGCUAAAACUCAAAGGAAUUGACGGGGGCCCGCACAAGCGGCGGAGCAUGCGGAUUAAUUCGAUGCAACGCGAAGAACCUUACCAAGGCUUGACAUAUAGAGGAAAAGCGUAGAAAUACGCUCCCCGCAAGGUCUCUAUACAGGUGGUGCAUGGUUGUCGUCAGCUCGUGUCGUGAGAUGUUGGGUUAAGUCCCGCAACGAGCGCAACCCUCGUCCUAUGU
RNAcentral lists this ribosomal RNA (731 nucleotides) under uncultured Actinomycetes bacterium. RNAcentral's name for it is "bacterial SSU rRNA". It matches the Rfam family "Bacterial small subunit ribosomal RNA", at positions 371 to 1115 of the family's 1533-position model. The record is from RNAcentral. Lineage: Bacteria; Bacillati; Actinomycetota; Actinomycetes.